UUUUUUUUCUUUCUUUUUGAUAAACGUAUUUAGUUGUACCAGAAUCAUUUGUUAAAAAGACUAUUCUUUACCCAUUAGGUUGACUUAACACCUUAUAAAAAUCAUUUAAUAGACAGAGGUGGAGCAAGAUGGCUAAAUAGAAUUCUGCAGCAAUUGCUCCCACAGGAACACCAAAUUGAACAACUAUUCACACAAGAAACCACCUUCAUAAGGACCAAAAAUCAGGUGAGUGAUCACAGUACCUGGUUUUAACAGCAAAGCAAAGAAAGGCACCAAAGAGGGUAAGAAAGACAGUCUUGAAUUGCCAACAACACCCUUCUCCCAUACUCCAGCAGUGGCUGUGUGGCACAGAGAUAGAAUCUGUUUGCUUUGGGGAGGGAGAGAGCAGUUAUUGUGGGACCAUGACUUGGAAAUCAAUGCUGUCUGUCACAGUGGAAAGCAACACAGGGCAGCAUUUGGUCAGCCCUCUAAAAGGACCAUUUAUCCAAGCCCUGGCUACAGGGGAAUCAUCCAUCUCAGUGUUUAGAACUUGAGUUCCAGCUAGCUCCACCACUAUGAGCUAAAGUUCCCUGGGGUUCUAAAUAAAUGCAAAAGGCAGUCUAGGGCACAAUGACUGCAAUUUUGGGGAAAGUCUUUGUGCUCUACUGGGCUCAGGAGCAGUGAAAUUGGGGUGCAUAAAAAUUAGUGAGAUAUACAACCUGGGACAGGCAAGGGAGUGCUUGUGUCACCUGUCCCCCAAUCCCAGGCAGUGGAGCUCAUAGUUCCAGAAGAGACUCUUUCUUUCUGCUUAAGGAGAGGAAAGUAGAGUGUAAAAAUAACUUUGUCUUGCAAUUUGGACACCAGCUCAGCCACAGUAGAAUACAGCAUGAGGCAGAGUCCUGAGGCUCCUAUUCCAGGCCCUAGUUCCUUGAUGACAUUUCUAAACACACCACGAAUCUGAAGAGAACAUGGUACCUUGAAGGGCACCACCCAAUUCUGGAAAGAUUCAUCACCUGCUGAUUAAAGAGAGCUUGAGCCUUGAAUCAACACCAGUGAUAGCCAGGCAAUACUUACUGUGGGUCUUGGGUGAGACCCAGUGCUGUGAUGGCUGCAGGUGUAAC
Molecule: long non-coding RNA, 1100 nt
Filed under: Macaca fascicularis (crab-eating macaque)
Lineage: Eukaryota; Metazoa; Chordata; Mammalia; Primates; Cercopithecidae
Description: lncRNA (ENSMFAG00000063470.1)
Source: RNAcentral